ACCCUAAUGUUUUCUCAUCAUCCGCCUCCAUUUCUAAACGUCGUCUUUUGCUUCCUUCGUCCGUCAACGUUUCUCUCAGAUCUCGCUGCGAUGUUUCCGAUCCUUACCGCUUCUAAUUCUCGUAGAGAUCCUCCCGAUCUGCAAAUCCGUGCGGUGUUAUGAGCGAGAUCUGAUGGUUAAUUCCAUGGUUGACGACGGAUCUGACUCAGAUCUGACUUUUUUCUAUUGAUCUGGAUUCGGAUCGUCCUUUACGGCUUCGUCAGAUGUGAGAUCUGUGAAUUGGUCACGUUGAGGCGUUGAGAUUUGGGAUACAAAGAGACUACUAAUCUGUUGUAGACGCUACGUAUUCCAGAUCGUGUGUGUGUUUGGAUUGAAGUGAGUUUAGGGUGUAUAAGAUGUGUUUGUGGAUAGGUAUGGUAUCCUUGAUAGCAUCUUUGUCAUCCGACCUUUGCCAUGUCAGGUGCGCUUGCAUGGCAGGUCAAAAACUGAUAGCUCAAUAAAUAAGUUAUUUUGUGGGUUUUGGAGAAGAGAUCGCACGGGUUAUUGUUUUUUUUUCCCGGGAUCUCUUCUCCUCUUGUGUGUCUUGCCUCUGCUCUCUCUCUCUCUCGUUCCAUCCCUCUUUUCAUUUACAUGCUCAUAGAAUCUAAAAAAAAAAUCGAUCAUAAGCAGACUGUUACUUAACUGGAGCCGUGGGCGAUACCAUGUCUUCUUGCCCAACACUACCGAGACAAAUCAGGUACUCAUAUAUUAAUUUGGUUCCUAAAUCAAUCAUUAUCAUCGCAAGUACUCAGUAUUUGAAAGAACAGAUCUUGACCUGAAUAUGUAGUCUGCAUAUAUUUACAUCAUCAUAGUUGACCGGAAUUACAAUAUCGUAAGUUAUCAUUGUCUAAUCGUUAAGUGUUAGUUUACAUGGUUACAAUUUUUGCUUUAUCUUGUGAUUUUAUUGAGCAAUAUUACCCUUCUGAAUGAUAUGGAACUAUGUUAUGAGGAAUCUUGAUUUAAGAGCUGUCGUGUAGUUUUGGUAUUAAUCCCCUUGUAUAAGUGUGUUAGAUGUCAAAGCGUUGUAGAAUAUUAGUAUUUGCCCAAGAUUGUGUGUAUCUGUAACCACCCACUCCCUGUAGAAGUAUGAAGAAUGUGCAUGAUGAAAUUGGACUUCUGUGCAUCAAGCAAUCUCGAAGGCUACCCUGUCUAAUGUUAAAUUGUGUUUGAAGGUAUAUUUUAUGGUUUUGCACGGAGCUAAAUUUUUUUGAUGUUCCUUGUACUAAUCAGCUACUCUAUUCACAAUCUAAGAAUGUGUGACGUUUAAAGUUCCAUCUAUUAAGAUUAUAUUCAUUUU
Molecule: non-coding RNA, 1336 nt
Organism: Camelina sativa (false flax)
Lineage: Eukaryota; Viridiplantae; Streptophyta; Magnoliopsida; Brassicales; Brassicaceae
Source: RefSeq, a predicted model, not a curated record